This 497-nucleotide ribosomal RNA is filed under the name uncultured bacterium. Its description in RNAcentral is "partial 16S ribosomal RNA". It matches the Rfam family "Bacterial small subunit ribosomal RNA", at positions 28 to 507 of the family's 1533-position model. The record is from RNAcentral.
GAUGAACGCUGGCGGCGUGCCUAAUACAUGCAAGUCGAGCGAACGGACGAGAAGCUUGCUUCUCUGAUGUUAGCGGCGGACGGGUGAGUAACACGUGGAUAACCUACCUAUAAGACUGGGAUAACUUCGGGAAACCGUAGCUAAUACCGGAUAAUAUUUUGAACCGCAUGGUUCAAAAGUGAAAGACGGUCUUGCUGUCACUUAUAGAUGGGUCCGCGCUGCAUUAGCUAGUUGGUAAGGUAACGGCUUACCAAGGCAACGAUGCAUAGCCGACCUGAGAGGGUGAUCGGCCACACUGGAACUGAGACACGGUCCAGACUCCUACGGGGGGCAGCAGUAGGGAAUCUUCCGCAAUGGGCGAAAGCCUGACGGAGCAACGCCGCGUGAGUGAUGAAGGUCUUCGGAUCGUAAAACUCUGUUAUUAGGGAAGAACAUAUGUGUAAGUAACUGUGCACAUCUUGACGGUACCUAAUCAGAAAGCCACGGCUAACUACGUG